RNA transcript from Maniola jurtina (meadow brown), 935 nucleotides. It is a transcript of the gene named receptor expression-enhancing protein 5, with no coding region annotated. The transcript is spliced from 6 exons. NCBI's taxonomy places the organism in Eukaryota, Metazoa, Arthropoda, Insecta, Lepidoptera, Nymphalidae. The record is from RefSeq and is a predicted model, not a curated record.
UUGUCAUUUUCAUUUACAAUUCUGUCAUUUCACCGACAUUGUCAAUAAGUCGUGGCCGCAGACUUGCUGAGUGCCAAAUCCAUUUCCAUACACCUCAGACCGCAAAAAAAUACCAAAAUGACUACCAAAUUACAAGAGUACAAGGACACUAUAGAGCGAAGUUUGAACGACAAGGGCAAGCCUUGGACGAAAUUCUUCGAAACGGCCGAAGCGAAGACCGGCGUGAACAGGGUCUACAUAUUUGUCGGCUUGGUAGCGUUCACGGGGUUAUAUUUAGUGUUUGGAUUCGGCGCGGAACUGAUAUGCAACAGUAUAGGAUUCCUGUACCCUGCGUAUAUGUCUAUGAAGGCCCUGGAGUCGCCUGCCAAGGACGACGAUACGAAGUGGCUCACAUAUUGGGUCGUUUUCGCCUGUUUCUCCAUCGUUGAAUACUUUUCUGACUUCAUUGUUGGCUGGUUUCCGCUCUAUUGGUUAAUCAAGUGCAUCUUCGUGAUCUGGUGCUACCUGCCAACCGACUACAACGGCUCGCUGAUCAUCUACAACCGCAUCAUCCGCCCCUACUACCAGAAGCACCACGGCCGCAUCGACGACCUCGCCAAUUCAGAUAUCCUGAAAGAAUUGGUGCAAAACGCCAACAAGCACAUGGAUAAAACUGUUGGUGCUUUGAACAAAAAGCUCUCCGAGCUUCAUAAAGAUUAGGUUGGAUUAGCUUGGUAGGAUCCGGUAAACAAGAAUAAAGCUGUACACACAUAGAUCAAUAUCCACGCGCUUGGUAGCGGAUGCAGUUAGGAAGAACAAUUAAAGCCUCAACAUGCAAUUUUUCAUAUAUCGGAGGAUCAAAAGUACAAAACAUCCGCUGCACUCGCUUUGUACCGCUUCGGAGCACUCAUUGGACGCUAAAUGAAAUUAAAAAAACUGAAAAUCCAUAGACAAAA